UGGGGAUUCCUGCCUACCUGAGGCCUUCUGAAGCAUGGGCCGGAGGUGUCAAGACACAAUUUUACCAGGGUUUUGGUGUUUUAGGUCUAGUUAGAGAUAGGAGCCCAAAAGAGCACCAAUGGAUCGAAGGAUGAGCAUCUUGUGGCCCUUCAUAGUAGCAGCAAGAAAUACAUGAUCCUGGUCAUCUAAAAGCAGAUAAACCAGCGCAUGGACUACUCAGUUCUGCACAGAAACCCACAAGUGGUUUGUCACGGUGAUGUGACUGACUGGGAACAAACUAACUAUAGGGAAAGGAGUUUGGAAGCCAUACGAGAGAUCUGCUUACAGGUGAUGGGGAGGGUCUCCACUGAGCUGUAAAAGCCUGAAAUGUGAAGAGGAUCUCACACUUUCUGGAGCUGUGGAGACAUUUCUCUGCACUGGACACCGGCACCACAAUUGUGUCUGCAUCUGUUCCUGACAGAUUUGAGAGGAAAUACAAGAGACAACCAAUCCAAAGUGCCAGACUGAAAGCCUUCUCCAGCUUCCAACACAUCUUUCCCAGUGUCCGAGAGCCUGAAGGGUUUUUUCAAUCAAUUUUUUUCUUUAUGUGCUCAAAAUUGAAAACCCUCAACAAGUGUCUGUGAAGACUCCCCCCCAAUCUUUUCCUUUUCCGGGGAAAAUUACGAGCAUGUGUCUCAGCUCACAUCUCUUGGCUCCUUGCAAUCAGCAGCUGGGGGUCAGCUUUGAUAUUUGCUCAUUUUGAGGGACAUGGUUGCUGGCUGCUUGUUGUCCCCACAGUGCACGCAUGAGUUUCUCCCACACUUCUGUCUCCAAACAAACUGGACAAGAUGCUCUGCAUCUUAAGUGUGUGCAUUCAGGGAUAUGAAAGAAAGACCAAUCUGAAUCUGAAGGUUAGGAUGAGACUCCUUUUAAACUUUGACUGCUUACUGCCAAAAGAAAAGCUCAUUAUUUCUAUCUUCUGCUAAAUAUGGGUUCACAGAUUCGAGAAAGGAAGUGGUUGUGUUCUCAUGCAUCUGGUUCACCUAUUGCUUCAACAGCCAGAAUUAUAGAGCCAUGUACUUCUGCAGUGCUCUGAUUAUGGACAGAAACCAAGUUUGUAACAAACAUGAACAAUCUGCAGUUCUCUCUUAAACAGAAGGAGCUGUGUAUUUGUGCGGCCCUUUCUGUUCUAGUCAUGGAUUUAAGUGCAGUACGAAGAUGGUUCUAGCUAAAUAUGUUCCAAGCUCUAGAGCUUUUAAGUUAGUUUAAUUACAAAUAUGUAUUUUUUUCAGCUACUUAUCUGAAAUUUGUCAGCCUCAAGAUGCUCUGUAGUUGAGGUAAUCAUGCAAUAUUUAAACUGUGUAGGCAUAGACUGUCAUUAGAAUUUAAUACAAGUGGUAUUUCAAAGAGAAUUUGGAUAAGGGCUGAUACACACCAAUGAGGUUUGUGCAGUAUAGGCAUGCAAGGAAAGUUUCCCAGUUCUGCAGAAUAAAACAGGCUCAGAAAAGUGUGGUAAAGGGUUCAGAAUGGGUCAGAAGCCCUUACUAUUAACUCCAGUGUAAUAAGGGCACAGCGGACAGACUGGUGUAAAAUCUGGUAGUUCUCUUAACCACAGGGCAGAGCAAUCUCCUUCUCAUGAGUGCAC
Molecule: long non-coding RNA, 1624 nt
Organism: Numida meleagris (helmeted guineafowl)
Lineage: Eukaryota; Metazoa; Chordata; Aves; Galliformes; Numididae
Exons: 3
Source: RefSeq, a predicted model, not a curated record